Sturnus vulgaris (Common starling) is the source of this 614-nucleotide non-coding RNA. The record is from RefSeq and is a predicted model, not a curated record. NCBI's taxonomy places the organism in Eukaryota, Metazoa, Chordata, Aves, Passeriformes, Sturnidae.
GUUUCUUAGGAUUUUUUUUUUACUUGUUAGGCCAGGUCAUUUAAUUAGGUAAAAGCAGUUAAGUUUUCAGCACUGCAAAUCUUCCUUUUGGUCAAGUUACUUGAAAUCUCUCCUUAAAAUGAUAGUUUUUGUGUCAGCUGAAGUCUGGCACUUUGACAGUCAUUAGAAUGUGAAGUAAUUAAUUUAUUAAUUACUAAUUACUAAAAAGUUUUCAGUAACACCUGAAUGCAUUGUGGAAACAUCGAAAAAUAUUCCCUAAUAUGCUACUGUACUUACAUUUCCAGGUAUCAUUACAUAUUAAGAAUUGACUCCAAGUACAUCAAAAUUAGGAAUCCCUUUGCACAACUUUUAUGUUUCACUCUUCUUGAUUUGACAGAAUUUCACCUAACACUCUAUCCAAACCUGCAAGCUUCACUUAAUUUCAGCCCCAAAUCACAUCAUUCGACCCUAGGAGAAGUUUCCUCCAUUUCAACAAAUCGAGCCCAAGUUUGUGUGACAGUGGAUAGAUGAGGUUUCUUGGCAGAUGAAGAGAAAGGGAAAGUUGGAUGAUGAUUUUGAAUGAAUGAGGAUGAAGAUGAACUGUUAGCCUUAAAGCUUGUAUGAGGUAGUCGGAA